This is a non-coding RNA of Paramuricea clavata, 220 nucleotides long. The record is from the annotation of a GenBank genome assembly. Lineage: Eukaryota; Metazoa; Cnidaria; Anthozoa; Malacalcyonacea; Plexauridae.
CCAAUACAAUAGAUCAUUGAAAAGAAUUGAGUAAUUACAAUAAAUGAAUAAUUUAGACAUUGUCCUCGCUCUGUUUACAACACCAAAUCACAGAUUUGCACGUCUUGAUACAACGGCUGCAUUCCAAGCCACAACAAGUGCAACUUCAAACUGGGUUUAGCAGAACUCUUCCCAAACAUAAAACCCAUGUCUUCAACUUCUAAAACUGUAUUAAAUUCAU